GAUGAACGCUGGCGGCGUGCCUAAUACAUGCAAGUCGAGCGAACGGACGAGAAGCUUGCUUCUCUGAUGUUAGCGGCGGACGGGUGAGUAACACGUGGAUAACCUACCUAUAAGACUGGGAUAACUUCGGGAAACCGGAGCUAAUACCGGAUGAUAUUUUGAACCGCAUGGUUCAAAAGUGAAAGACGGUCUUGCUGUCACUUAUAGAUGGAUCCGCGCUGCAUUAGCUAGUUGGUAAGGUAGCGGCUUACCAAGGCAACGAUGCAUAGCCGACCUGAGAGGGUGAUCGGCCACACUGGAACUGAGACACGGUCCAGACUCCUACGGGAGGCAGCAGUAGGGAAUCUUCCGCAAUGGGCGAAAGCCUGACGGAGCAACGCCGCGUGAGUGAUGAAGGUCUUCGGAUCGUAAAACCCUGUUAUUAGGGAAGAACAUAUGUGUAAGUAACUGUGCACAUCUUGACGGUACCUAAUCAGAAAGCCACGGCUAACUACGUG
This 497-nucleotide ribosomal RNA is filed under the name uncultured bacterium. Its description in RNAcentral is "partial 16S ribosomal RNA". It matches the Rfam family "Bacterial small subunit ribosomal RNA", at positions 28 to 507 of the family's 1533-position model. The record is from RNAcentral.